Gadus macrocephalus (Pacific cod) is the source of this 1010-nucleotide long non-coding RNA. RefSeq lists it as uncharacterized. The transcript has 4 exons. NCBI's taxonomy places the organism in Eukaryota, Metazoa, Chordata, Actinopteri, Gadiformes, Gadidae. The record is from RefSeq and is a predicted model, not a curated record.
CAGAUCUGGGGAGGAGAGGAGGGUGAACGGGUGAAUGUCUCAGAGAGGAGGUGUGGUGAACGUGUGAAGGUCCAGAGGAGGAGGUGAGGUGAACGUGUGAAGGUCUCAGCGAGGAGGUGUGGUGAACGUGUGAAGGUCCAGAGGAGGUGAGGUGAACAGGUGAAGGUCCAGAGAGGAGGUGCGGUGAACGUGUGAAGGUCCAGAAAGGAGGUGUGGUGAACAGGUGAAGGUCCAGAGAGGAGGUGCGGUGAACGUGUGAAGGACCAGAGAGGAGGAGUGGUGAACGGGUGAAUGUCUCAGAGAGGAGGUGUGGUGAACGUGUGAAGGUCCAGAGAGGAGGAGUGGUGAACGGGUGAAUGUCUCAGAGAGGAGGUGUGGUGAACGUGUGAAGGUCCAGAGGAGGUGAGGUGAACGUGUGAAGGACCAGAGAGGAGGUGUGGUGAACGUGUGAAGGUCUCAGAGAGGAGGUGUGGUGAACGUGUGAAGGUCCAGAGAGGAGGAGUGGUGAACGGGUGAAUGUCUCAGAGAGGAGGUGUGGUGAACGUGUGAAGGACCAGAGAGGAGGUGUGGUGAACGUGUGAAGGCCCAUGUGUAUCUCCGAGCGGAGGUGAAGACCUCCCUCCCACUGACCUCGUCCAGCAGCGCCAGGUGCACCGGCGUGUGGUCCGUCUGCAGCUGGAAGUAGCGAGGCUCCGACACCGUCCAGUCCACCCACUUCAGCACCCCCAUGGCCACCACAGGGAACCUGAGGAGACACCCUGCUGGUCAAGAGGCUCCGGUCACACGGCCCCACGCUGGGGGUCAGGGACACCACAGUUAUAUAUACUGUGUGGACUCGUCCAUGAAACACAUUCUGUAUUCUGUCUGCAUAUUGAUGCUUAUAGGAACCGGUCAAGAGACCAUACUGGAGGUUAGGGCUGCUCGAUUAUGGGAAAGAUGAUAGUCACGAUUAUUUUGGUCAAUAUUGAAAUCACGAUUAUUGAAACGAUUAUUUUUGAGUUUGAAAACAU